Molecule: ribosomal RNA, 390 nt
Filed under: uncultured bacterium
Lineage: Bacteria
Description: bacterial SSU rRNA
Rfam family: Bacterial small subunit ribosomal RNA
Source: RNAcentral
AUUGAACGCUGGCGGAAUGCUUUACACAUGCAAGUCGAGCGGCAGCGCGGGGGCAACCCUGGCGGCGAGCGGCGAACGGGUGAGUAACAUAUCGGAACGUACCCAGUCGUGGGGGAUAGCUAUCCGAAAGGAUAGCUAAUACCGCAUACGUCCUGAGGGAGAAAGCGGGGGAUCGCAAGACCUCGCGCGAUUGGAGCGGCCGAUAUCGGAUUAGCUAGUUGGUGGGGUAAAGGCUCACCAAGGCGACGAUCCGUAGCGGGUCUGAGAGGACGACCCGCCACACUGGAACUGAGACACGGUCCAGACUCCUACGGGAGGCAGCAGUGGGGAAUUUUGGACAAUGGGGGCAACCCUGAUCCAGCCAUUCCGCGUGAGUGAAGAAGGCCUCGG